Molecule: long non-coding RNA, 2370 nt
Filed under: Canis lupus familiaris (dog)
Lineage: Eukaryota; Metazoa; Chordata; Mammalia; Carnivora; Canidae
Description: lncRNA (ENSCAFG00040025886.1)
Source: RNAcentral
GUCAAAGGACUUUGAGACAUCAACAGCAUAUUAUUGUCAUGAUUUUAUUUUCAGGGCAUCCCGUGUGGCUCAGCGGUUUAGCGCCACCUUCAGCCAAGGGUGGGAUCCUGGAGACCUGGGAUCGAGUUCCACAUCGGGCUCCCUGCAUGGAGCUUGCUUCUCCCUCUGCCUGUAUCUCUGCCUCUCUUUGUGUCUCUCAUGAAUAAAUAAAUAAAAUAUUUUUAAAAAGAUUUUAUUUUCAAGUAAUCUCUACAUUUAACAUGGAGCUUGAACUCAUAACUCCAAGAUCAAGAGCUGGACACUCCAUUGGCUGAGCCAGCCAGGCUCCCCUGUCCACUACCUACUCUUUCUUUUUCUCUUUCUUUUUCUCUUUCUUUUUCUCUUUCUUUUUCUUUCUUUCUUUCUUUCUUUCUUUCUUUCUUUCUUUCUUUCUUUCUUUCUUUCUUUCUUUCUUUCUUUCUUUCUUCCUUCCUUCCUUCCUUCCUUCCUUCCCACUAUUUUUCUAUUUUAAUUCAUGACUUGGACUGUAAUCAGGUUGGCAACAGAUAAAACUCUACUAUUUCAUUAUACUCCUUUUGGAGAAAUAGAAGAAUGAAGUUGGUAUUUAAGACAUAAGGGGAUGCAUUCACUUAGGAAAAGAAAAUAAACAUCCUAAAGUUAAAAAAAAGAGGAUGCCCUGGUGUGAUGUUAAAUGUAAAAAUAAACUAGACAUAGAAAAACAAGGUAAUCAAUAGCUAAUUUCCACAUUUGCUUAUUUGCAAACUCUAACAAAAUAAACUCUUUUAAGAAAUCUAAGAAACACCCCCCUCCCCACAUUAUUAGAAAGAGAACAACUCACCUAAAGAAUAUAAACAAAUUAAAUCACUGAUGGGGAGCACUUGAUGGGAUGAGCACUGGGUGUUAUGCUAUAUGUUGGCAAAUUGAACUCCAAUAAAAUAAAUAAAUAAAAAUAAAAUUAAAAAAAGAAAAAAAUUAACCUAUUAAAUGACAUAUUAAUAAGUAUAAAAACCUCCAUGAAAUUAUUUUUCCAAAAAAACCAAACAUCAACUAAAAGUAGAAAUCUUGAAAUAAUGAAUACUGUAAGUAACUGAGGAUGUUAUAGAACCUGCCCCAGAAGGGACUAUGACAAGGGGUUCACUACUGACUACUUCCAGCCUACCUUCCACACAUUAAACAAUUGAUAAUUCCUGUGCUGUGUGAAACCUUCCAGAGCAUAGAAAUACGAUGUCUAGGCCCUCAUUCCAAACCUGGUAAAGAUAGCGGAAAGAAUAAAAAAUUGGAGAAUAAUAAAAACAAAGAUUAACCUCUUAAAAAAAGAUUAUUUAUUUGAGAAAGAGAGAGAGAGCAGGAGUGGGGGAAGAGGGGCAGCGGGAGAGAUAAUCUCAAGCCGACUCUGUGCUGAACGUGGACCCCAACCUGGGGCUCAAUUGCAGGGCCCUGAGAUCACGACCUGAGCCGAAACCAAGAGACAGGUGCUCAAUUGACUGCACCACCAGGCACCCCAAGACUAAUCUCUUUUGAAUGAACAAAAUAGCAAAUGGAAUUUACUAAUACAUUAAGGUACGAAUAUACCACAAUCUAGUUGAGUUAUCCUCCAAAUAUAGGAAGGUUCCACAUAAGAAAAUUUAUUAAUAUAGCAGAUUAAUUUUUAAACAUUCCCCUCAACUGGUUAACUUCAAAAGUUUAAAUAGGACUAGAAAUCUAUUUCCCUAAAAGGGUGAAGCAUAUCUAUUCCGAACAAAUGAUCAACAUUAUAUUACAUGUAAGGAAAAUGUUUUUGAAAAUAUCACAUUAAUAAAUUUUAUUUCCCCUUUGAAUCUUACUCCCUUGGCAGGCUUCCAUCUCCUAAACCAGCAAGUAGAUAUUUGACUUUUAUACCUGGGCAUAGAAAUGUUUCAAAGUCUCUUUUUCCUUUCCUCUUGGUUUAACUGAAACCUAGCCUGGAUGACUGUUACCUAAGUUCCCUCACAGAAUGACGAUGGGCAUUGAAGCCGAUGCUCUUUGGUGAGGAGCCAGUCUGGGGGGUGGGAAGGUGGUUUAGGCAAGGAUAUGACAGAGGGGAAGCAAAAACUUAGUGACUCCAGCUCCUCAAGAGUGUGGAAGGGAGAAGGAAGGGGAUGGGGUGGGGGACAGUUUGAAAGAAUGCAAGAUAAGAGAUACAUGUUCCAACCUCUCCUCUUUGGGUGAUUGGAAGGCUGAGAUAAGUGAAGCAGGGAUUGAGUAGCAUGAGCAAACACCAAGGACUCUUGUUUAGAUGUCUGGGGGCAGCCACCUACGGUGGUGCCUUCACCAACAUAAAGGUGGAAGCCCUGCAAGCAUCUUCCCAGAGAGGGGAGGGUCUCUCCUCCCAGCUCCUUCCUUCAGGAAGGA